AGUGAACGCUGGCGGUAGGCCUAACACAUGCAAGUCGAACGGCAGCACAGUAAGAGCUUGCUCUUACGGGUGGCGAGUGGCGGACGGGUGAGGAAUACAUCGGAAUCUACUUUUUCGUGGGGGAUAACGUAGGGAAACUUACGCUAAUACCGCAUACGACCUACGGGUGAAAGCAGGGGAUCUUCGGACCUUGCGCGAUUGAAUGAGCCGAUGUCGGAUUAGCUAGUUGGCGGGGUAAAGGCCCACCAAGGCGACGAUCCGUAGCUGGUCUGAGAGGAUGAUCAGCCACACUGGAACUGAGACACGGUCCAGACUCCUACGGGAGGCAGAAGUGGGGAAUAUUGGACAAUGGGCGCAAGCCUGAUCCAGCCAUACCGCGUGAGUGAAGAAGGCCUUCGGGUUGUAAAGCCCUUUUGUUGGGAAAGAAAAGCAGCAGGUUAAUACCCCGCUGUUCUGACGGUACCCAAAGAAUAAGCACCGGCUAACUUCGUG
Molecule: ribosomal RNA, 492 nt
Filed under: uncultured bacterium
Lineage: Bacteria
Description: partial 16S ribosomal RNA
Rfam family: Bacterial small subunit ribosomal RNA
Source: RNAcentral